GUUCUGGCCAGGAGACACAUUUAUUAUUUACAAGAAAUAAUUACAAAAUACACUUGAGAAAAAAAAACUUCUUCAUUCUGAAAUAAAAACACAUUAAUAGUAUUUCAACAACAAUUCAUUUAUUAGUAUCCAACUUUACCAAUCUUGUCCAUUAAACACAACAAAUAGCAUGAUUCCCGUGUAAUCAGUUAUGUAAUUAGACACGUGUCAAACGGUUCAUUGAUUUUCGGCACAUCAAAGAAAUACAGGCACGUGUCUAAGUAAUGUUGAAUAUCUUAUUUAUCUAUGAUUUUUUUUCUACAAAAAUUGAA
This 311-nucleotide long non-coding RNA is filed under the name Mytilus galloprovincialis (Mediterranean mussel). The record is from RNAcentral. Lineage: Eukaryota; Metazoa; Mollusca; Bivalvia; Mytilida; Mytilidae.